This 295-nucleotide long non-coding RNA is filed under the name Nicotiana benthamiana. RNAcentral's name for it is "long non-coding RNA (NBEN_LNC028194)". Lineage: Eukaryota; Viridiplantae; Streptophyta; Magnoliopsida; Solanales; Solanaceae. The record is from RNAcentral.
AUAUAGGCUAGGUGUAGAUAUUUUACGGACACGGAUUUCAUUUUCUUUAUCGGUUCUGAUUAAUAAACUCUCUCUAUCUUCUGGAGAGUUCUCAAACGCUCCUCCUUCUCUCUAGAUUCUCUCUCUACAUUUCUCAUGAUUUUUCGGUUUAAUCUCAAUGUUUACAUGGUAUCAGAGCCUAGACGAUCCGACUGUGUUCAUCUGUAUCUCGUUGUCUUGGAUGAAGUCUGUUUCGACAUUUUUGGGGGUGUUUCUGAGACCUUAUGGUCGAUGAUGAUUCCGACCUAAAUCGGAU